AGAGUUUGAUCCUGGCUCAGGAUGAACGCUAGCGGCAGGCCUAACACAUGCAAGUCGAGGGGUAAUCCCGCCUUCGGGCGGGAACGACCGGCGAACGGGUGCGUAACGCGUAUGCAAUCUGCCCACUGCUGGGGGAUAGCCCGAAGAAAUUUGGAUUAACCCCCCAUGGUACGGCGACUCCGCAUGGAGUUGUCGUUAAAGUUUACGGCAGUGGAUGAGCAUGCGUCCCAUUAGCUAGUUGGUGAGGUAACGGCUCACCAAGGCUGCGAUGGGUAGGGGUCCUGAGAGGGAGAUCCCCCACACUGGUACUGAGACACGGACCAGACUCCUACGGGAGGCAGCAGUGAGGAAUAUUGGACAAUGGGGGCAACCCUGAUCCAGCCAUGCCGCGUGCAGGAAGACGGCCCUACGGGUUGUAAACUGCUUUUGUACGGGAAGAACUCCCCGCUCGUGAGCGGGGCUGACGGUACCGUAAGAAUAAGCACCGGCUAACUCCGUGCCAGCAGCCGCGGUAAUACGGAGGGUGCAAGCGUUAUCCGGAAUCAUUGGGUUUAAAGGGUCCGCAGGCUGGGCGGUAAGUCAGUGGUGAAAUGCAGGGGCUCAACCCCGGCACUGCCAUUGAUACUGCCGUUCUUGAAUCGUCGUGAAGUGG
Molecule: ribosomal RNA, 652 nt
Filed under: uncultured bacterium
Lineage: Bacteria
Description: bacterial SSU rRNA
Rfam family: Bacterial small subunit ribosomal RNA
Source: RNAcentral